This 71-nucleotide transfer RNA is filed under the name Elusimicrobia bacterium GWA2_56_46. RNAcentral describes it as "tRNA-Pro". It matches the Rfam family "tRNA". Rfam says of the family: Transfer RNA (tRNA) molecules are approximately 80 nucleotides in length. RNAcentral also lists the same sequence under 6 other names. The record is from RNAcentral. Lineage: Bacteria; Pseudomonadati; Elusimicrobiota.
CGGGGCAUAGUGAAAUGGUAUCACACGCCGUUCGGGUCGGCGGAUUUACGGUUCAAAUCCGUAUGCCCCGA